RNAcentral lists this ribosomal RNA (253 nucleotides) under Rhodanobacter caeni. RNAcentral's name for it is "partial 16S ribosomal RNA". It matches the Rfam family "Bacterial small subunit ribosomal RNA", at positions 524 to 776 of the family's 1533-position model. RNAcentral also lists the same sequence under 3 other names. Lineage: Bacteria; Pseudomonadati; Pseudomonadota; Gammaproteobacteria; Lysobacterales; Rhodanobacteraceae. The record is from RNAcentral.
UACGAAGGGUGCAAGCGUUAAUCGGAAUUACUGGGCGUAAAGGGUGCGUAGGCGGUUAUUUAAGUCUGCCGUGAAAUCCCCGGGCUCAACCUGGGAAUGGCGGUGGAUACUGGAUAGCUAGAGUGUGUCAGAGGAUGGUGGAAUUCCCGGUGUAGCGGUGAAAUGCGUAGAGAUCGGGAGGAACAUCAGUGGCGAAGGCGGCCAUCUGGGACAACACUGACGCUGAAGCACGAAAGCGUGGGGAGCAAACAGG